AGAGUUUGAUCCUGGCUCAGGAUGAACGCUAGCGGUGCGCCUAACACAUGCAAGUCGAGCGAUAUAGCGGCGAACGGGUGAGUAACACGUUGGAACCUGCCCCGAACUCAGGGAUAGCUCCCGGAAACGGGAAUUAAUACCGGAUAGUCCCGAAAGGGUAAAGAUUUUUCGGUUCGGGAGGGGCCUGCGGCCUAUCAGCUUGUUGGUAAGGUAAAAGCUUACCAAGGCUAUGACGGGUAUCUGGUGUGAGAGCAUGACCAGACACAAUGGAACUGAGACACGGUCCAUACUCCUACGGGAGGCAGCAGUGAGGAAUCUUCCGCAAUGGGCGAAAGCCUGACGGAGCGACACCGCGUGGAGGAAGAAGGCCUUUUGGUUGUAAACUCCUUUUCUGGGGGAAUAACUGAUGAAGGUACCCCAGGAAUAAGCACCGGCUAACUACGUGCCAGCAGCCGCGGUAAUACGUAGGGUGCAAGCGUUAUCCGGAAUCAUUGGGCGUAAAGCGUUCGUAGGCUGCUUGGAAAGUUCACCGUCAAAUCCGGUCGCUCAACGAUCGAAUCGCGAUGAAAACUUCCAAACUUGAGAUUGGCAGAGGCAACUGGAAUUCCGCAUGUAGGGGUAAAAUCCGUUGAUAUGCGGAGGAACACCAAAAGCGAAGGCAGGUUGCUGGGCCAUUUCUGACGCUGAGGAACGAAAGCGUGGGGAGCAAACAGGAUUAGAUACCCUGGUAGUCCACGCCGUAAACGAUGGAUACUCGAUGUGGGAAGGACUCGACCCCUUCCUGUGUCCAAGCUAACGCGUUAAGUAUCCCGCCUGGGGAGUACGGUCGCAAGAUUAAAACUCAAAGGAAUAGACGGGGACCCACACAAGCGGUGGAGCAUGUGGUUUAAUUCGACAAUAAACGGGGAACCUUACCAGGGCUUGACAUCUCCGGAAGCUUUUGGAAACAAGAGUGUGCCGUAAGGAACUGGAUGACAGGUGCUGCAUGGUCGUCGUCAGCUCGUGCCUUGAGGUGUUCGGUUAAGUCCGUAAACGAGCGCAACCCAUGUCCUGUGUUGCAUAUUUCACAGGAGACUGCCGGCUCCAAGUCGGAGGAGGAUGGAUGACGUCAGAUCAGCAUGGCCCUUAUGCCCUGGGCUACACACGUGCUACAUGCUGGUACAAUGGGUAGCGAACCCGCAGGGGGAGCCAAUCUCAUCAAGCCAGUCUAGUUCGGAUGGGGCUGAAUUCGACCCAUGAGUUGAUCGCUGUACGCAAUACUAUGUGCGGUGAUAUGUCUGGUCUGUCUCCGCCGUCCACAGAAGGGGAUGCCGAGUCCCUAUUUCAGACGGGCUAGGAAUCCUGAUGGAUGAUCUA
This 1356-nucleotide ribosomal RNA is filed under the name uncultured bacterium. Its description in RNAcentral is "partial 16S ribosomal RNA". It matches the Rfam family "Bacterial small subunit ribosomal RNA". The record is from RNAcentral.